UACAGAGGCCUCAAGCGUUAUCCGGAAUCACUGGGCGUAAAGGGUGUGUAGGUGGUUUUGUUAGUCUCUCGUUAAAGCCCGCGGCCCAACCGCGGAAAUGCGGGAGAAACGGCAAGACUAGAGGAUGCGAGGGGUGAAUGGAACUCAUGGAGUAGGGGUGAAAUCCGUUGAUAUCAUGGGGAACACCAAAAGCGAAGGCAAUUCACUGGCGCACUCCUGACACUGAGACACGAAAGCGUAGGUAGCGAAUGGG
This 253-nucleotide ribosomal RNA is filed under the name uncultured bacterium. RNAcentral's name for it is "partial 16S ribosomal RNA". It matches the Rfam family "Bacterial small subunit ribosomal RNA", at positions 524 to 776 of the family's 1533-position model. The record is from RNAcentral.